Molecule: non-coding RNA, 428 nt
Organism: Pelobates cultripes (western spadefoot toad)
Lineage: Eukaryota; Metazoa; Chordata; Amphibia; Anura; Pelobatidae
Source: the annotation of a GenBank genome assembly
CUCAUAUUCUAUAAUCCUCACGCAUAUGUAUUCUUUCAUUUGUACUUAUCUUUCAUUAAUAUAUAAAUAGUAGUCGGGGCAAUAUAGCCGUACACAGAAAUAUAGCAUAUUAUAACCAUACUGUAACGGACCGUUUGGCACAUAAGCGGUUAAAAACCGUUUAGGCGAUAUUCCCCUUUCAGAUGCACAGACAGCUACUGCAAUCACCAAUCUCCCGAACUGCAAACUACACGAAUUCUCCAAAUCCCGAACAGGAAACUCACGAAUACUGGAAACAGCUGAACAGGAAAAACCAUACGAAAGGUUUACACUCCUGGCAGUCAGCAUACAAUCCAAUUCCCCCAAUAACGAGACGACACUUUGUUUGAGUGUUAAGCAGAAUCUGCCAGAGCUGUGGGUUUAUUGUGGGUUUAUUGUUCUUAUGUACA